UGCUCAAAGUAACCUCCAACACACUUGC
This 28-nucleotide non-coding RNA is filed under the name Homo sapiens (human). The record is from RNAcentral. Lineage: Eukaryota; Metazoa; Chordata; Mammalia; Primates; Hominidae.